RNAcentral lists this long non-coding RNA (1055 nucleotides) under Chrysemys picta bellii (western painted turtle). Its description in RNAcentral is "lncRNA (ENSCPBG00000011898.1)". The record is from RNAcentral. Lineage: Eukaryota; Metazoa; Chordata; Testudines; Emydidae.
AUGAAGGUUUAUGCAGUGACCACCAUUGCUGUCCUCUCGAUGCAGCUCUCUUUCAUGGUUCAGGCUGGGGAUGGGAAAGGGUUGGUAGCUCCAGAGAAGCAAGUGGGGGCUGAGAGAGUGAGAAAAGCACCUCAGCCAUCAGAUGGAGGAAAGAAAGCACCAGAAGACAGCUCAGUGAGGUGUCAGCCUGCUGCCAGAGUGCAGAAGGCAGCAGGAGAAGCUGGAGUUGGAGCAAGGUCCCACAGCAAACUGCUGAGCAAGCCACAGCGAGAAAGCAGUAAACAGAAGGCCACUAGCAAGCAGCAGAGCCCCCAGCUGCAGCCCCCCAAGAGAAAGAGCCCAGGAUCCAGCAACCACUUGGAAGGCCACGGGAAAUUCAAUACUGACACUUAUUCCUGUCCUGGGAUUCAGUCUAAGACCUGCCAGAAACCCUCAGAUUGUGAUGGCUGCCUUGGCCUCUACACCUGCAAACUGCCUAGGGGGAAGUGUGGUUUGAAAGCUGUUUCCAGGAAGACAGGUACUGCACAACUCCCAUGUCAGCCAGCCCAAUUCAGCAAUGAAUGCGUCAGGGGUCCAUUACAGAUGGCCAGAUGGUAGGGGCUUUAUGUAUGUCACUUAAAAAACCCAACACCAAAAUGCCACACUGGACUUUUUCAAAACCUCUCUUUGUGUUGCACAUAACAACUCCUCCAAGCUUCAACAAGUGAGCUACAGGCAGGGAAGUAAUGGAGCACUAACUAGCCUCCGUUAACUCUGUAUUGAAGACAAGCCCUGAGUGAUUUAGGUUGCAAAGUUAAACACUGAAGUUAGAAAAUGCCAGAAUUAAGCUUGUGUGUGCAACUACCAUUAAGCCCCCUUGAGCAUAUGUGCACUAAGAUACAGCUUUUAAGUAGGAUCACAUACUAGUUUUUUCCUCAGGCUGACUGCUACAUUAGCUAACAUGAUUGUAAAUGUGUUACACUGCAUCUAGCUUAGCCUUAGCUGCUAAUUGGUGUUUCAAAUGGGGUUAGUUACCCUGAGGUAAAUAAAACAAAACCAAAAAAAGAAAAACUCCA